RNAcentral lists this ribosomal RNA (497 nucleotides) under uncultured bacterium. RNAcentral's name for it is "partial 16S ribosomal RNA". It matches the Rfam family "Bacterial small subunit ribosomal RNA", at positions 28 to 507 of the family's 1533-position model. The record is from RNAcentral.
GAUGAACGCUGGCGGCGUGCCUAAUACAUGCAAGUCGAGCGAACGGACGAGAAGCUUGCUUUUCUGAUGUUAGCGGCGGACGGGUGAGUAACACGUGGAUAUCCUACCUAUAAGACUGGGAUAACUUCGGGAAACCGGAGCUAAUACCGGAUAAUAUUUUGAACCGCAUGGUUCAAAAGUGAAAGACGGUCUUGCUGUCACUUAUAGAUGGAUCCGCGCUGCAUUAGCUAGUUGGUAAGGUAACGGCUUACCAAGGCAACGAUGCAUAGCCGACCUGAGAGGGUGGUCGGCCACACUGGAACUGAGACACGGUCCAGACUCCUACGGGAGGCAGCAGUAGGGAAUCUUCCGCAAUGGGCGAAAGCCUGACGGAGCAACGCCGCGUGAGUGAUGAAGGUCUUCGGAUCGUAAAACUCUGUUAUUAGGGAAGAACAUAUGUGUAAGUAACUGUGCACAUCUUGACGGUACCUAAUCAGAAAGCCACGGCUAACUACGUG